CGCCUUGCCAGCCCGCUCAGAACUUAAAUGAAUUGACGGGGCCCGGCACAAGCGGUGGAGUAUGUGGUUAAUUCGAUGCAACGCGAAGAACCUUACCUGGUCUUGACAUCCCGGAGACCCUUAGGAAACUAGGGGGUGCUUCCAUCUGGAAGAAUCUGGAGACAGGUGCUGCAUGGCUGUCGUCAGCUCGUGUCGUGAGAUGUUGGGUUAAGUCCCGCAACGAGCGCAACCCUUGCCUUUAGUUGCCAGCAGUUCGGCUGGGCACUCUAAAGGGACUGCCGGUGUUAAACCGGAGGAAGGUGGGGAUGACGUCAAGUCCUCAUGGCCUUUAUGACCAGGGCUACACACGUACUACAAUGGCCGAUACAAAGGGCAGCGACACUGCGAGGUGAAGCCAAUCCCGUAAAAUCGGUCUCAGUCCGGAUUGGAGUCUGCAACUCGACUCCAUGAAGUUGGAAUCGCUAGUAAUCGCGGAUCAGCCAAGCCGCGGUGAAUACGUUCCCGGGCCUU
This 510-nucleotide ribosomal RNA is filed under the name uncultured Desulfobulbus sp. Its description in RNAcentral is "bacterial SSU rRNA". It matches the Rfam family "Bacterial small subunit ribosomal RNA", at positions 903 to 1382 of the family's 1533-position model. The record is from RNAcentral. Lineage: Bacteria; Pseudomonadati; Thermodesulfobacteriota; Desulfobulbia; Desulfobulbales; Desulfobulbaceae.